Long non-coding RNA from Bactrocera tryoni, 925 nucleotides. RefSeq lists it as uncharacterized. The transcript is spliced from 2 exons. The record is from RefSeq and is a predicted model, not a curated record. NCBI's taxonomy places the organism in Eukaryota, Metazoa, Arthropoda, Insecta, Diptera, Tephritidae.
UCAGGAGCAGCUGCAACUUUAUAUAAUGUUUUGCAAGCAGCAUCCUGACCUGCAAGGGGGAAGCUAACUCCGACCAACCCUCAAUGGCUGCAAAUACUUUGGUCGGAGUUAGCAGAUAAUUUAAAUGCCUUAAGAGGUCCAACUCGGUCGGCAACCAAGUGGAGGGAGUCCUUAAUGCAUUGGAAACAUCAGUUGCGAUCGCGAGCGCGCAAACUGAAGGCACAUGCGCAAGCGACUGGUGGAGGCACUCCGAUAAAUGGAAUAACUGAGUUCGAGGAGCAAGCCAUUCCAACUUUUGGGGCAGCAGCGGUGGAUGGAUUGCCGGGUGUUGCGACUUUGGGUCACCAGAAAUAUUUUAAUUUAAUAUUUGUCGGACAAUAUAUUUUAUUAUUACAUGAGGCAAUAAUUGGUCCGUUUUAUACUUACAGGUUUUGCCGCCGUUGUAUUUAAAUACAGAACCAGUCGCUGCUCAAGCUCCAGCUUCCUCGCCAACACCAACAGUCACAUCGCCUGCUCCAGCGCCCUCACCAGCAGUCACAUCGCCUGCUCCAGCUUUUCCUGCUCUGUCUACAAAUUUUUCUUCCUCACCAUCACCUCCAGAUUUGUCCCCUUCUUCCUUAUCUCCUCCCAUCUUACCUUCUCCUAUGCCAUCACCUACUUACAUCCCUUCUGAAGGUAAAAAGAUGCUUGCAGCAGUGCUACAAAAAAAGCCAUCACCUACUUACAUCCCUUCUGAAGGUAAAAAGAUGCUUGGAGCAGUGCUAAAAAAAAUUGAGGAGCGUGAAAAGCGAGAGGAGGAGGCCAUUGCUCUACAAAAGAAAAUUGUAGAGCAAAACGAGCAGAUGACGGGGGUACUGAACCAAAUGACACAAGCACUAACCUCGAUGUCAGAGGUUAUGGCUAAAUUGUGUGAACAAUUAAAUAA